CCGAGUUUACAACUCCCAAACCCCUAUGUGAACGUUACCAAAAUGUUGCCUCGGCGGGGAAUUUAUUCAUGCCCCGGGCGCGUCGCAGCCCCGGACCAAGGCGCCCGCCGGAGGUAUCUAACUCUUGAACUUUUAUGGCCUCUCUGAGUCUUUGUACUUAAUAAGUCA
This 168-nucleotide unclassified non-coding RNA is filed under the name uncultured Trichoderma. RNAcentral's name for it is "sequence contains ITS1". Lineage: Eukaryota; Fungi; Ascomycota; Sordariomycetes; Hypocreales; Hypocreaceae. The record is from RNAcentral.